RNAcentral lists this transfer RNA (71 nucleotides) under Heterocephalus glaber (naked mole-rat). It matches the Rfam family "tRNA". Rfam says of the family: Transfer RNA (tRNA) molecules are approximately 80 nucleotides in length. The record is from Rfam by way of RNAcentral. Lineage: Eukaryota; Metazoa; Chordata; Mammalia; Rodentia; Bathyergidae.
GCAGGGGUAGCUCAAUGGUAGAGCUCAUGCUUACCACACAUGAGGCCCUGGGUUCAAUUCCUAGCACCUCA